GAUGAAGAACGCAGCGAAAUGCGAUACGUAAUGUGAAUUGCAGAAUUCAGUGACUCAUCGAGUCUUUGAACGCACAUUGCGCCCCCUGGUAUUCCGGGGGGCAUGCCUGUCCGAGCGUCAUUGCUGCCCUCAAGCACGGCUUGUGUGUUGGGCCUCCGUCCUCCUCCCGGGGGACGGGCCCGAAAGGCAGCGGCGGCACCGCGUCCGGUCCUCGAGCGUAUGGGGCUUCGUCACCCGCUCUUGUAGGCCCGGCCGGCGCUUGCCGACACAUCAAUCUUUUUUCCAGGUUGACCUCGGAUCAGGUAGGGAUACCCGCUGAACUUAAGCAUAUCAAUAAGCGGAGGA
RNAcentral lists this unclassified non-coding RNA (345 nucleotides) under soil metagenome. RNAcentral's name for it is "partial contains 5.8S ribosomal RNA, internal transcribed spacer 2, and large subunit ribosomal RNA". The stretch from base 1 to 120 matches the Rfam family "5.8S ribosomal RNA", at positions 35 to 154 of the family's 154-position model. The record is from RNAcentral.